AUUGAACGCUGGCGGCAGGCCUAACACAUGCAAGUCGAGCGGAUGAAGGGAGCUUGCUCCUGGAUUCAGCGGCGGACGGGUGAGUAAUGCCUAGGAAUCUGCCUGGUAGUGGGGGAUAACGUCCGGAAACGGGCGCUAAUACCGCAUACGUCCUGAGGUAGAAAGUGGGGAUCUUCGGACCUCACGCUAUCAGAUGAGCCUAGGUCGGAUUAGCUAGUUGGUGGGGUAAAGGCCUACCAAGGCGACGAUCCGUAACUGGUCUGAGAGGAUGAUCAGUCACACUGGAACUGAGACACGGUCCAGACUCCUACGGGAGGCAGCAGUGGGGAAUAUUGGACAAUGGGCGAAAGCCUGAUCCAGCCAUGCCGCGUGUGUGAAGAAGGUCUUCGGAUUGUAAAGCACUUUAAGUUGGGAGGAAGGGCAGUAAGUUAAUACCUUGCUGUUUUGACGUUACCAACAGAAUAAGCACCGGCUAACUUCGUG
RNAcentral lists this ribosomal RNA (483 nucleotides) under uncultured bacterium. RNAcentral's name for it is "partial 16S ribosomal RNA". It matches the Rfam family "Bacterial small subunit ribosomal RNA", at positions 30 to 507 of the family's 1533-position model. The record is from RNAcentral.